ACCGGCUUCAGGUGUUACCGACUUUCAUGACUUGACGGGCGGUGUGUACAAGACCCGGGAACGUAUUCACCGCAGCGUUGCUGAUCUGCGAUUACUAGCGACUCCGACUUCAUGAGGUCGAGUUGCAGACCUCAAUCCGAACUGGGACCGGCUUUUUGGGAUUCGCUCCACCUCACGGUAUUGCAGCCCUUUGUACCGGCCAUUGUAGCAUGCGUGAAGCCCAAGACAUAAGGGGCAUGAUGAUUUGACGUCAUCCCCACCUUCCUCCGAGUUGACCCCGGCAGUAUCCCAUGAGUUCCCACCAUUACGUGCUGGCAACAUAGAACGAGGGUUGCGCUCGUUGCGGGACUUAACCCAACAUCUCACGACACGAGCUGACGACAACCAUGCACCACCUGUUCACCAGUGUCCAAAGAGUCCCGUAUUUCUACGGUGUUCUGGUGUAUGUCAAGCCUUGGUAAGGUUCUUCGCGUUGCAUCGAAUUAAUCCGCAUGCUCCGCCGCUUGUGCGGGUCCCCGUCAAUUCCUUUGAGUUUUAGCCUUGCGGCCGUACUCCCCAGGCGGGGAACUUAAUGCGUUAGCUGCGUCACGGAAACCGUGGAAUGGUCCCCACAACUAGUUCCCAACGUUUACGGGGUGGACUACCAGGGUAUCUAAGCCUGUUUGCUCCCCACCCUUUCGCUCCUCAGCGUCAGUUACGGCCCAGAGAUCUGCCUUCGCCAUCGGUGUUCCUCCUGAUAUCUGCGCAUUCCACCGCUACACCAGGAAUUCCAAUCUCCCCUACCGCACUCUAGUCUGCCCGUACCCACUGCAGGCCCGAGGUUGAGCCUCGGGAUUUCACAGCAGACGCGACAAACCGCCUACGAGCUCUUUACGCCCAAUAAUUCCGGAUAACGCUUGCGCCCUACGUAUUACCGCGGCUGCUGGCACGUAGUUAGCCGGCGCUUUUUCUGCAGGUACCGUCACUCUCGCUUCUUCCCUGCUAAAAGAGGUUUACAACCCGAAGGCCGUCAUCCCUCACGCGGCGUUGCUGCAUCAGGCUUCCGCCCAUUGUGCAAUAUUCCCCACUGCUGCCUCCCGUAGGAGUCUGGGCCGUGUCUCAGUCCCAGUGUGGCCGGUCACCCUCUCAGGCCGGCUACCCGUCGACGCCUUGGUGAGCCAUUACCUCACCAACAAGCUGAUAGGCCGCGAGCCCAUCCCAGACCGAAAAAUCUUUCCAACCCCCACCAUGCGAUGAGAGCUCAUAUCCAGUAUUAGACGCCGUUUCCAGCGCUUAUCCCAGAGUCCAGGGCAGGUUGCUCACGUGUUACUCACCCGUUCGCCACUGAUCCACCAAGCAAGCUUGGCUUCACCGUUCGACUGCA
This 1363-nucleotide ribosomal RNA is filed under the name Actinomycetes bacterium. Its description in RNAcentral is "Actinobacteria bacterium partial 16S ribosomal RNA". The record is from RNAcentral. Lineage: Bacteria; Bacillati; Actinomycetota; Actinomycetes.